This 451-nucleotide ribosomal RNA is filed under the name uncultured bacterium. Its description in RNAcentral is "partial 16S ribosomal RNA". It matches the Rfam family "Bacterial small subunit ribosomal RNA", at positions 354 to 796 of the family's 1533-position model. The record is from RNAcentral.
GUGGGGAAUAUUGCGCAAUGGGGGAAACCCUGACGCAGCGACGCCGUGUGAGGGAAGAAGGCUUUCGGGUCGUAAACCUCUGUCAGAAAGGAAGAACCUCCCAUAUCCGAAUAGGGUGUGGGACUGACGGUACUUUCAAAGGAAGCACCGGCUAACUCCGUGCCAGCAGCCGCGGUAAUACGGAGGGUGCUAGCGUUAAUCGGAAUCACUGGGCGUAAAGCGCGCGUAGGCCGCUUCUUAAGUCGGACGUGAAAGCCCUCGGCUCAACCGGGGAACUGCGUUCGAUACUGGGAGGCUUGAGUCCUGGAGAGGGUGGCGGAAUUCCGGGUGUAGGAGUGAAAUCCGUAGAUAUCCGGAGGAACACCGGUGGCGAAGGCGGCCACCUGGACAGGUACUGACGCUGAGGCGCGAAAGCGUGGGGAGCAAACAGGAUUAGAUACCCUAGUAGUCC